Amphibacillus xylanus NBRC 15112 is the source of this 67-nucleotide small RNA. It matches the Rfam family "Bacillaceae-1 RNA". Lineage: Bacteria; Bacillati; Bacillota; Bacilli; Caryophanales; Bacillaceae. The record is from Rfam.
GUUUAACGAAGGCAAGCUAAAACCGUCACGUCGUGUGACGACGCUUGCAUGACCUACAUCCUGUAGG